UACGUAGGGUGCAGGCGUUAAUCGGAAUUACUGGGCGUAAAGCGUGCGCAGGCGGUUUCUUAAGUCAGAUGUGAAAGCCCCGGGCUUAACCUGGGAACUGCGUUUGAAACUGGGAGACUUGAGUGUGGCAGAGGGGGGUGGAAUUCCACGUGUAGCAGUGAAAUGCGUAGAUAUGUGGAGGAACACCGAUGGCGAAGGCAGCCCCCUGGGUUAACACUGACGCUCAUGCACGAAAGCUGGGGGAGCAAACGGG
RNAcentral lists this ribosomal RNA (253 nucleotides) under uncultured bacterium. RNAcentral describes it as "partial 16S ribosomal RNA". It matches the Rfam family "Bacterial small subunit ribosomal RNA", at positions 524 to 776 of the family's 1533-position model. The record is from RNAcentral.